Molecule: long non-coding RNA, 551 nt
Filed under: Gadus morhua (Atlantic cod)
Lineage: Eukaryota; Metazoa; Chordata; Actinopteri; Gadiformes; Gadidae
Description: lncRNA (ENSGMOG00000036569.1)
Source: RNAcentral
GCACCUGAAUAUGGCUGAGUAUAUUUGAUUUAAUAUCGAUACUGCUUAGUGUUCUUUGUUACUUCAGCUUUUGUACGUUCUAAAUAUAUGCUGUCAUUAAUUGCCACAGAAGUUAAACCCUACCCAAUGGAAUGACGUUAAAGAACGACUUUGGUGCAGAGUUACCAACUGGAUAAUAUCAAAGCUAAAAUAAUGUCCGUCAUUCCCACAUGUUACAGUAGAAGAUACUGUAGAACUGUAAAAGGUUAAAAAGGUAACGUGUAGUUUGUCCCAAGGUGUCUGCCUCCUCACCCAGAGCCAGACCUCCACCUCCUCACCCAGAGCCAGACCUCCACCUCCUCACCCAGAGCCAGACCUCCACCUCCUCACCCAGAGCCAGACCUCCACCUCCUGUCAGAAGUCCUCCAGAACAGCUGAAAGGCGAGGCUGGGGACCGGAGGCUUGUGGUGCCAGGGUGGACCGGAGACUGGGGCUGGAGACCAGGGGCCUGCAGCACCGGACCAGAGGGUAACCAUCACCAAGCUCAUCUGAAACACCAAAAUCCACGGUAG